AAGUGAUUCCUCUGAGGACACUCCCCAUGCGUGUCUGAUGGCUCCAUACAAGUCAAAAGAAGACUCCUGAGGAGUGCUUGUCAUGUCUACACACCAGACAGGAAGAAGACAAGCUUCCCUCCAGCUGUGAGAGGGGUCUCUCGAGAGGCGUGGUCUCAGGUGGAGGAGGAGUUCCCAUGGAUCUGAGGCGCUCACUCCGGCUUCAUCUGCUCCUCACCAAUUACAGUUACAAAGACACUCCUCCUGAGGAAGACCACAUUUCCCAAGUAUCUGGAGUCAACAUUCAGACCACGGUUUGCUGAAGACAAGGAAAUGAAUGCCAAAUGUUCAAUGACCUCACUGAGCUCUUCUGAAGGGCCCUGGCUCACCUGCGGGGCCCUGGCUACCAGCAAUGUCUGGGCUUCUUUAUAGUAGUCCUGGUUAGACCCCUGCUGUCUCUGGUCCCUCUCCACAACCACUGCUUCUCUGUGACACUGGAGUGGUAAGUUUAGCUUACCCAGCUAACACAACUCAGAUCAACAAUAUGGCGUGGACAUAAACCC
RNAcentral lists this long non-coding RNA (542 nucleotides) under Rattus norvegicus (Norway rat). RNAcentral's name for it is "long non-coding RNA NONRATT026041". The record is from RNAcentral. Lineage: Eukaryota; Metazoa; Chordata; Mammalia; Rodentia; Muridae.